RNAcentral lists this long non-coding RNA (773 nucleotides) under Homo sapiens (human). RNAcentral describes it as "small nucleolar RNA host gene 17, transcript variant 29 (SNHG17)". Lineage: Eukaryota; Metazoa; Chordata; Mammalia; Primates; Hominidae. The record is from RNAcentral.
AGUCCUUCGCCGUCCCUCGCCGUCCUUCGCCAUCGCACGCCACCGCACCCCAUCUCUCGAAAUCUGCAGACAUCUUGAUUUUUCCCACGCUGUCUGUCAGGUCUCCGCCGCCACUCGACGCCAGGGCGCCGGGAGUGUCACAUGACUGCCGCCCCAUGUGUGUGAGAGGCGUCCUCUGGGAGAGCAUGGAUCCUGAGGUCCCAGGAUUGUCAGCUGACCUCUGUCCUGUGUGCCCAGUGGCCCCAGGUGACGUGUCUUCAAGAAGAGGCUGAGCUGCGGUGCUUGUAAGAUGGGUCUGCUGUGUGCAGAGGCUCCAUGGGAUGUGUUGUCUUCAUAGUAGCAGGGCGCUGGACCAUGGGUCCGCAAGGUCUCAGCCUUAGAUCCAAGGACAGUCCAAGGAAGUCCUAAGACCAUGGAGUUGGUGAUCUGGGAUCUGGGUUUGCUGAUAUUUCUCACCGUGAAUCUCUUGGUGGUGUUUGUGGGCACGAGAGGGGCAGAGAAUGGAGAGUGAGGCUACCACAUGAAGCGUCACCAGAGCUGCUCCCUGCUGCCUGCUCAGAGCACCCCGGAUCCACUGUUCAAUCUGCACAAGAUUCGGGGUCCAGACAUGGGAGACUUCAGCUGCCUCAGAGGACCGUGGACAGGGAAGGCCAGCCUCGCAUCCCUCUGUCCAUGCCUGGAAUGACUUUAAUAACCAAGAGUUUUAUUUUUGAAUUUGUAGCUGUCGUUCACUUUUUACCCACCCAUUCAAUAAACCUUACAGAAUUGCUCCA